UACGUAGGUGGCAAGCGUUGUCCGGAAUUAUUGGGCGUAAAGCGCAUGUAGGCGGUUCCCUAAGUCGGUCGUGAAAAUGCGGUGCUUAACGCCGUAUGGCGAUCGAAACUGGGGGACUUGAGUGCAGGAGAGGAAAGGGGAACUCCCAGUGUAGCGGUGAAAUGCGUAGAUAUUGGGAAGAACACCGGUGGCGAAGGCGCCUUUCUGGACUGUGUCUGACGCUGAGAUGCGAAAGCCAGGGUAGCGAACGGG
This 252-nucleotide ribosomal RNA is filed under the name Succiniclasticum ruminis. RNAcentral's name for it is "partial 16S ribosomal RNA". It matches the Rfam family "Bacterial small subunit ribosomal RNA", at positions 524 to 776 of the family's 1533-position model. Lineage: Bacteria; Bacillati; Bacillota; Negativicutes; Acidaminococcales; Acidaminococcaceae. The record is from RNAcentral.